Molecule: long non-coding RNA, 862 nt
Filed under: Oncorhynchus kisutch (coho salmon)
Lineage: Eukaryota; Metazoa; Chordata; Actinopteri; Salmoniformes; Salmonidae
Description: lncRNA (ENSOKIG00005023409.1)
Source: RNAcentral
AACAAUGGUUUGCAGGCACACAGUAAAACAAUCCAUUUGAUAAGCUAAUGAGCUGAGAGUCAUCAGUGAGCAUUGAACUUUGAAUCUUUAAAAUGGAUGAAGUGUACCUUCCUCUACGGAAUGCGAUUUAUCAACAUUCUAAAGCCCACUGCACGCACGAGAUACAUAUUGAUUUAUAUUAUACUACUAGUAGCCUACCAAUGAGAUGCAGUUCUUUAAUAAUGAAAAACGUAUUCCUACUUUAAUAUAGGCGUAGUACGGAAACGGAUUACUUUAAAAAUAAGCAAUGUCGCAAUAACUUGUUUUGUGGGUCUGGUUUAGAGUAUUUGAUUUUGCGACAACAUUGCGUUCUCCGUUUCCGCACUAUGUCCAUAUCGCAAAAACGUUUUUGUGAGUCUCUCUGGUCUCCAGAUACUGGACCUUAUCCUACCUAUCCAGUGCCAUUAAAUCCAUGACAUAAGGAACUUUGAACUGAUGUACUUAGUUAGUCGUAGUUAGACUGACUUACCCGACGUCUAGGCUGCAUGCUGCUCCAUAAGAUUAAAAUAGUAAAAACGUGGAAUUGGCUCAGUGCAAGAAGGAAGUGUUUUUCAGAUUUGUGUCGUAAUGUGAAACUCGAGUUGUUUGACAGGUGCGGCAAGGGAGGGCAAUGUAAUGAUGCCCAAAGAGAGCCUACCAACAAAUGACUCCUUCCUCCCAGACCUGGACAAGCUAGACAAGGGAGAGAUAUUGGCUGAGGUUGAUUUGGACCCAACUCCAGUGCCUCACUGUUCCGGUAAGGGUCGAAAAACGAAGCAUUUUGCCACAGUGCAGGUGCUCUGUGGCAACAAAAAAAAGGUGAUUUAUAAGUUAGCAUACUAUU